GUGUGUGUGUGCGAGUGUAUACCUGUCCUUUUUUCCCCCUAAGGUAAGUCUUUCCGCUCCCGGGAUUGGAAUGACUCCUUACCCUCUCCCUUAAAACCCAUAUCCUUUUGUCUUUCCUUCUCCUUCCCUCUUUCCUGACGAGGCAACCAUUGGUUGCGAAAGCUAGAAUUUUGUGUGUAUGUUUGUGUUUGUUUGUGUGUCUAUCGACCUGCCAGCGCUUUUGUUUGUGGUUGAUGUUACCCAUACUGUGCAGUACCUUUUGGUCUGAUGUCACCAGUAACUGAGUUUAUAAGUGCAUUAGAUUAUGUACUUCACUUGAUCAAGAUCUGGUAGGAGAACGUGAUGUUUAUGCGGAUGACAUUUUUGUAAAUGGACAGAGUUGAGAAGAGCAUUUGAGGUUGUUGAAGUAGAGAUGUGGAACAGGAUAAGCUUCACCACAAUACAAUGGCACAUGGCAGAGACUAUAUUGGCAUGCCUGAUGUUCUGGACGAAUGAAAAGGGAAAGAUUGGGCUGCAGUGUGACCAACAGACAGAAUUUGAUGGAGAUCGGUGACCAGUCCAGCAAUUGCCUAUAUGGGCAUCGAAAGCCACAUAAAAACCACAACUCAAGCAAGCCAGUGAAUAAGAUCAAUGGUCGUUAACCCUCUGUGUACAUUUGAUUUAAGUCAGUCUCUGAAAGUAGUACCCUAAGCUUUAAGUUAGACAAGCACACUACACAAGAGCUUUGUUGAUUAUUACACACAUACCUCAUUCAUAGAUGAAUAACUCAAGUGGAAAAAAAAAAAUUCUUACAUGGACGUCUGAAAGAACAGACACAGUUGACAAUCCACAGCUGUACGAAAUACUUCGAAAUUGAUUUUCCGCCUGUGAAUUCCUUGUUAUCAGCCGUAUUAGGACAGACAAAGGACAACAUACAAGGAUGUCCAUACAAGUAUGUCCAUCCAAGGAUGUAGAUGUGUGACAUAAGGUGGUUUGGGUUGGUCCGAGGAGCAUGUUCGAAGAGCAGAAGUGGUCAAGGUGAUUGUUUGUGAUAAGUACGAAAUCUAGGUUUGAGUCCCAGGCUAGCACAAAUUUUCAUCUGGUACUACUGGGUACUAGAUCUAUACCUAAUACAGCUGAUAUCAAGAAAUGCACUGUCAAUGAAUUAAUUUCAAAGAAAAAACAAUUAUGCGGACAGCAGAACAAGGCUAAGGCCUGAGUUUUUUGGAGGCAAAAUGCUCCUUCUGUGUAUAUAUUAUAAUACUUAUGUAAAACCAAUGUAACUUCUAUAACAACAAUCACUGAUUUACAGACAAUAGUCUCAAACAUGAAUCUAGUGUUUAAACACAGUGUAAUU
This is a long non-coding RNA of Schistocerca serialis cubense, 1336 nucleotides long. RefSeq lists it as uncharacterized. The transcript is spliced from 4 exons. NCBI's taxonomy places the organism in Eukaryota, Metazoa, Arthropoda, Insecta, Orthoptera, Acrididae. The record is from RefSeq and is a predicted model, not a curated record.